Molecule: long non-coding RNA, 680 nt
Filed under: Sus scrofa (pig)
Lineage: Eukaryota; Metazoa; Chordata; Mammalia; Artiodactyla; Suidae
Description: lncRNA (ENSSSCG00045013342.1)
Source: RNAcentral
AUGAAGCUGGGUGGCCUCUGCCUCCUGCUCCUCCUCGCCGUCCUUCUCACCCUCAAUGCAGAGUUCCAAGCAGUUGAUGUAGGUAUCUGUGUGACGGAGUGCAAGGUAGACCAGGACUGUGGGGCAGGAAGACGAUGCACCAGCAAUGGAUGUGGCCGGGUCUGCUCCCCAGUCCGGCGAAGAGAGGCCUGCGAGCACCAGUGCAGAGAAGACAGGGACUGUGGGAGUGGACAUCAGUGCGUGAGGAAGGGCUGUGGGCACGUCUGCGCCCCCGUCCAUCAAGUCGAUGUAGGUAUCUGUGUGAUGGAGUGCCGUGUAGACCAGGACUGUGGGGAAGGAAGACUAUGCAUCAGUAAUGGGUGUGGCCGUGUCUGCUUCCCAGUCCGGCGAAGAGAGGCCUGCGAGCACCAAUGCAGAGAAGACAAGGACUGUGGGAGUGGACAUCAGUGCGUGAGGAAGGGCUGUGGGCACGUCUGCUCCCCCAUCCCUCAAGUAGGUGAGUCUGGACUUUCUGUAGAGUGAAAUGGACUUGAGCUUUCAAGGCAAAUGUCCUUGGAUUCAAAUCCCAACUCUGCUGUUGACCAGACAGCCCCUUCAUGUCCUCAAUCUAUGAAAUACAAAAUAAGAAAACUUACCAGUUAAAGCCCAUUUUGGUUACCAUUAACCUGCUUUCUUUGCAG